This is a long non-coding RNA of Salvia splendens (bonfire salvia), 704 nucleotides long. RefSeq lists it as uncharacterized. The record is from RefSeq and is a predicted model, not a curated record. Lineage: Eukaryota; Viridiplantae; Streptophyta; Magnoliopsida; Lamiales; Lamiaceae. The transcript is spliced from 2 exons.
CUUAUUCAAAAUAGCAAGUAUGCAAUCUUUGUGACACAUCACCAAACUUGCAAAAAGAAUAAGAACAAGAAUGAGCAAAGGAUAAGCUCAUCACCAAGGGCCUUUUAAAGGCAACAAUAGAUUUCCACACCCUCCAAACCGAGACUAGGAGGCAGCCAAGAGGGGGCAGCCCCAAGGCUUGCAUCAAAUAGGUAAGAAUAGAUUCCCUUAAUCAAUAAGCUCAAAAGGGGAUGAGCUUGGAGCUAAAAAUGGGAGCUCCAAUGCCCCAAAUCCUGCCACAAGAGGCCAAGGGAUGGCCUAUAAAUACCACCGUCACCCCCCUCCCCUCCACACUUUCUCUCGGCCCCAAGGCUCUCGGAUAACAGAGGCGACGGAGGGAGGAACGGGCGGCGCAAGGAAGUGGCAACACAGAGACGAUCACAAGCCACAGAGGGUGCACCGAGUGAGGUUGAACGUCAAGAGGAAGAAAUAUUGAUCGGAGUCGAUGCUAUUAAAUAAUCAAGUGGAUUUCUCUACGAUUCGUGUCUUCAUACACGAAGUCGUUUAGUAAGGACCUAUUCCCAUGUACUUUUGUCAAGUGAGAAUUUUGAAGUCUCACCUGCGAACUCUGAUUAGGUUGAUAUGAUGAAUUAUUCUAUUUUGAGAUCUUGUAAUCAAAUACUUGGCUUCUAAUUUGUGGUAUCAAUUGAUUGGCCUGUCAGCAA